This 492-nucleotide ribosomal RNA is filed under the name uncultured bacterium. RNAcentral describes it as "partial 16S ribosomal RNA". It matches the Rfam family "Bacterial small subunit ribosomal RNA", at positions 29 to 507 of the family's 1533-position model. The record is from RNAcentral.
AGUGAACGCUGGCGGUAGGCCUAACACAUGCAAGUCGAACGGCAGCACAGUAAGAGCUUGCCCUUACGGGUGGCGAGUGGCGGACGGGUGAGGAAUACAUCGGAAUCUACUUUUUCGUGGGGGAUAACGUAGGGAAACUUACGCUAAUACCGCAUACGACCUACGGGUGAAAGCAGGGGAUCUUCGGACCUUGCGCGAUUGAAUGAGCCGAUGUCGGAUUAGCUAGUUGGCGGGGUAAAGGCCCACCAAGGCGACGAUCCGUAGCUGGUCUGAGAGGAUGAUCAGCCACACUGGAACUGGGACACGGUCCAGACUCCUACGGGAGGCAGCAGUGGGGAAUAUUGGACAAUGGGCGCAAGCCUGAUCCAGCCAUACCGCGUGGGGGAAGAAGGCCUUCGGGUUGUAAAGCCCUUUUGUUGGGAAAGAAAAGCAGCAGGUUAAUACCCCGCUGUUCUGACGGUACCCAAAGAAUAAGCACCGGCUAACUUCGUG